RNAcentral lists this unclassified non-coding RNA (378 nucleotides) under plant metagenome. RNAcentral describes it as "partial contains 5.8S ribosomal RNA, internal transcribed spacer 2, and large subunit ribosomal RNA". The stretch from base 1 to 105 matches the Rfam family "5.8S ribosomal RNA", at positions 50 to 154 of the family's 154-position model. The record is from RNAcentral.
GAAAUGCGAUAAGUAAUGUGAAUUGUAGAAUUCAGUGAAUCAUCGAAUCUUUGAACGCACCUUGCGCUCCUUGGUAUUCCUUGGAGCAUGCCUGUUUGAGUAUCAUGAAAUCUUCAAAGUAAAUCUUUUGUUAACUCAAUUGGUUUCUACUUUGGUAUUGGAGGUCUUUGCAGCUUCACACCUGCUCCUCUUUGUACAUUAGCUGGAUCUCAGUGUUAUGCUUGGUUCCACUCGGCGUGAUAAGUUAUCUAUCGCUGAGGACACUGUAAAAGGUGGCCAAGGUAAAUGCAGAUGAACCGCUUCUAAUAGUCCAUUGACUUGGACAAUACUUUUAUGAUCUGAUCUCAAAUCAGGUAGGACUACCCGCUGAACUUAAGC